UUGCUCUGCUCCCUAUGCUAUGCUCGACUCGGCCCGGCUCCUCGUCGCUCGUCGGAUGGAUAUAGAACCCUUAGUUCGUAUUCCUCUCCCUGUCUGCUAGGAACCCCGCCGUGGUUCGUCUCGCAGCCGGCAAAUCCGACGACGACGUCAUCGUCGACGUCGUCGUCGUUGUCGUCUUUGCACUCGUCGUGCUCUUCACGAGACGUGUUUUUCGGAGUAUCAGUCUCUCAGUGAAUUUUCAAAGUGCCUAUCCUCACUUCGCAAGUGACAGGGUUAAUCUAGGUGGUCACGUGCUCGAGCAUCGCGACCACGUGCUAUAUACGAGCUUUACCUAUGAGGAUUGAAACAAACGGGGAAGUCGACGUUCGUCGUUUCUCUUAUCAGCGACGUCCUAUCGAGCUAUAUCGUGGUAACGAUAAAAAGGAGAUAUAACGGCCAUGAAACGGAGGGAAGCCGGAAAGACGAUAAUCAGGAGGGAACUGCAAAUAUUCUUAACUUGGGAAGAAUAUUCUUAACUUCGAGAAAUGAAUUUAUUCUUCGCGCAACUUCUGUUCCACGAUCGAGUUUAGCGAAAUAUCUCGCGCUUCGCGCUCGAGCAAGAAAUAAAUGUUCCAACUCACUGAGAGCUUUUAUCUUUCAACAAAAAACCCAUGAUCCUUAAGCGAUAACCACAGCGGACUCGCUAAUCCGCCAAUCAAAUUAAUUGGACUGCGUACUUCCGCGCGCUGAUGAAAAAUGCCGCCAAAAACAAGUCAGCUUCGGAACAUUAAUCAAGAAGAGGAUAAAAAGACAAAAUGUCACAACACGAAACUUCAGCUUGUAAAUUAAAAAAAAAUGAAUAUGCCUUAUUACAACUCUACACUAUAACACAUCUAGUACGACCAAUUGGCUAAAUAUGUAUGCAAAUAAAAUUAAUGUUUCAAGGAUCUUAACCCUUUAAAAAUGUUCUCGUCUCUCUCUAGAUGAAGGGAAAGUUAUUUAAAAUACAUCGCUCCGUUUAUUCUCGCUUGUCAUUAUUUAUUUCCCGGUAGCUACGUGCCUGGUCGGCUCCCCUUUCGCCGAUGUGAUCGUUUUAGAAUCCUCGGCGGCACCUGCCGUGCAACCUGGAGCAGCAUGUAAGUAUAUACGCAAGUAAGUAUACACUUAGUCCCCGUGUGCAGGCUGCGUGCGGAGAGGCCGCGGCUACGGUUAUUACACGCGUCACGCGGCGUUCCGUACGGUCACGCACCCUCCUUCUCCUUCCUUAGGAAGCCCCCGAUGAGGAGGAACCCUUAUCGUCACCCUCUAUCUUGUCAGACAAACGCAGCCCCAUUAAGCCACUUACGAUGUACCUAACACACGAACCACGAGUGAAAAGAGCCGCCGUCGUCUGUUCCGGAAAACAGAAUCUAUAUAUAUGUAUAUACACGCGAAAAUAUAAAUUUGCGCGAUGCA
Nylanderia fulva is the source of this 1434-nucleotide long non-coding RNA. RefSeq lists it as uncharacterized. The record is from RefSeq and is a predicted model, not a curated record. Lineage: Eukaryota; Metazoa; Arthropoda; Insecta; Hymenoptera; Formicidae.